Molecule: long non-coding RNA, 1875 nt
Organism: Scylla paramamosain (green mud crab)
Lineage: Eukaryota; Metazoa; Arthropoda; Malacostraca; Decapoda; Portunidae
Exons: 4
Source: RefSeq, a predicted model, not a curated record
CGUAGUCGUAGUGGGUGUGGAGUGGGGAAAGGGAAGUUAGGAAGUGAGGAUAUUAUAUGACAUAUUAUUUGAUAACAUGUCACCUUUAGUGAGUGUUAGUGUGUGUAAUAAUAGUGAGUGUGGUUGGAGCAGUGAUACGUGGCGCUGGGGAGGGAGAGCGGGUGGCUGGCUGGCUGGCUACAUUGUUUUGGUCAACACUGGUCAGUCUUGCCCCACACGCUCUUUUAACCAGUGUUUCCGUAUUCCCGGCAGCUUUUCCCUGUACCGAGCACCGCCAAGCAGCACCAGUGAGGCACGAAUACGUAAGGAGUGACGGCUAUGCCCAGCACUAGUACAGCCUUGGCUGCCAGUGUGACGGCUGCCCACGAUGUCAUGAGGAGGAUCAAAUGGUGAUUGCAGUGGCUCCAAGCCUUGGACAGACGAGUGUGAGGCAGGAGCAGUCCAUCUGCCUGGAAUGUUUUGAGCUCAGCACACAAGCUGCACAAGUCUGCUGAAGAAUGCACCUCCCAAUCCUGCAUCUAAACUAACUUGAGAUUAUGUUGUGCUUAAGUGGCUUACAGCAUGAAAGGAGACACAGCUCAGAUCAUCUCCCCCUGAGCCAAGAUUCACAGCUGUUGAGUAUGUUAGCUUUUGUGAUGAGCAAUGUGAACAAGUAUUUCAAUGUUUUUUUUUAGCAUGCAAAAGAUGUGAUGGGAAUAAUGAGUAUAUCUGAACCCCAGCAAACACCAUUGAGUAACGUAAACUGUUAUUACUAUCGAAGGUAAUAAUGAGCCUUGUUUUUAGCAUGCAAAAGAUGUGGUGGGAAUAAUGAGUGUAUCUGAACACCAGCAAACACUAUUGAGUAACUUGAACUGUUAUUACUAUCGAUGAAGGUAAUAAUGAGCCUUGCCAUGAGUUGAGUAUUGAGAUGAAAGAAAAAAAUAUUAAGUACUCAGUAUUCUCAAUUAUCUCAUCAGUAAUUUCCGGAUUUCGUAUUUUUAAUAGUUAAGAGAUUUAUUAUGAGACAUUAUAAACCAUUUCAAUAGAGAUUUAUUAUGAGACAUUAUAAACCAUUUCAAUAGCUCUCCUUCCAGUGUAUCUAGAAACAAGUUAUUUUCUUGUAGUUAUUUCUCUGUGAGCCAAUGAUGUCUGAAUGUACAAACAGUUUCUAGGGACAUCACGCUGCUCAAUUCUUCUUGCUCCAGGCUGACUUACCUUUUGCCACUAAGUGUCUGAGUAUGGAAUAGUUUCUAGGGACAUCACACUGCUCAACUCUUCUUGCUCCAUGCUGACUUGCAUUUUUGUAGAGGCAGUUAUUCUGAUCCAACUGUUUUUGGGUCUAGGUUUUUCAUAACCAUUUUCAAGGUAGUGUUAUGCUGCUCAAUCUGUGGAAUGCAGUAUUCAAGAAAAAAAUGAGUGGAUAAUGACUAGUUUACUGGUAGAAAUACUUAGAUCCAUGAAGUGUGGGUCCAGUUUACCCUGAUUAAUUUGUUUACUGCUAGGAAUGCUUAGAUCCAUGAAGUGUGAGUCAAGUCUACCACACUUGCUCAUAGAAAUUACACUAUAGACAAGCCAUUACUAAGACAGCUGAACAAUCUGUAAGGUUACAAAAACUACAAGCCUACAGAAAUAAAAGUUCAUUAUUAUAUAAAAACAAACAAUACUGAGCUCCAACUUGUAUAUUACAAUGCAGGUACGUACAUAACACUUGACAUGCCUCCUUGGCUCUAUUCUUAUAAUGGAGUGUGUCCUGUCCUGUACAGCCACUGAAAUAAUGCUUCAGCACAAGUAAUGUUUUUUUCAUAAAUUUUUCACUAGACAUGCCAGUUUCAUGCAACUUCAAGAGGGUCAUGCCAGUUACCACUUUCAUUUGUAAAACACACACACACACACACC